RNAcentral lists this ribosomal RNA (365 nucleotides) under Brevundimonas sp. ST2-6. RNAcentral's name for it is "bacterial SSU rRNA". It matches the Rfam family "Bacterial small subunit ribosomal RNA", at positions 485 to 850 of the family's 1533-position model. The record is from RNAcentral. Lineage: Bacteria; Pseudomonadati; Pseudomonadota; Alphaproteobacteria; Caulobacterales; Caulobacteraceae.
AAGAAGCCCCGGCUAACUUCGUGCCAGCAGCCGCGGUAAUACGAAGGGGGCUAGCGUUGCUCGGAAUUACUGGGCGUAAAGGGCGCGUAGGCGGAUCGUUAAGUCAGAGGUGAAAUCCCAGGGCUCAACCCUGGAACUGCCUUUGAUACUGGCGAUCUUGAGUAUGAGAGAGGUAUGUGGAACUCCGANUGUAGAGGUGAAAUUCGUAUAUAUUCGGAAGAACACCAGUGGCNAAGGCGACAUACUGGCUCAUUACUGACGCUGAGGCGCGAAAGCGUGGGGAGCAAACAGGAUUAGAUACCCUGGUAGUCCACGCCGUAAACGAUGAUUGCUAGUUGUCGGGCUGCAUGCAGUUCGGUGACGCA